CAGGACGAACGCUGGCGGCGUGCCUAACACAUGCAAGUCGAACGGGGAUUUGUUUCGGCAGAAUCCUAGUGGCGAACGGGUGAGUAACGCGUAGGCAACCUGCCCUCCGGCCGGGGACAACACUCCGAAAGGGGUGCUAAUACCGGAUACGAAGUCUGUGCCGCAUGGUACGGAUUUGAAAGAUGGCCUCUAUUUAUAAGCUAUCGCCGGGGGAUGGGCCUGCGUCCGAUUAGCUGGUUGGUGGGGUAACGGCCUACCAAGGCGACGAUCGGUAGCCGGUCUGAGAGGAUGAACGGCCACAUUGGGACUGAGACACGGCCCAGACUCCUACGGGAGGCAGCAGUGGGGAAUCUUCCGCAAUGGGCGCAAGCCUGACGGAGCAACGCCGCCGUGAGUGAGGAAGUUCUUCGGAACGUAAAGCUCUGUUGUUCCUGACGAACCUCCCUUCUAUGAACAACGGAGGGGACUGACGGUAGGGAACGAGGAAGCCACGGCUAACUACGUGCCAGCCGCCGC
Molecule: ribosomal RNA, 516 nt
Filed under: uncultured bacterium
Lineage: Bacteria
Description: bacterial SSU rRNA
Rfam family: Bacterial small subunit ribosomal RNA
Source: RNAcentral